This 855-nucleotide ribosomal RNA is filed under the name Levilactobacillus brevis. RNAcentral's name for it is "bacterial SSU rRNA". It matches the Rfam family "Bacterial small subunit ribosomal RNA", at positions 35 to 891 of the family's 1533-position model. The record is from RNAcentral. Lineage: Bacteria; Bacillati; Bacillota; Bacilli; Lactobacillales; Lactobacillaceae.
GCAGUCGACGAGCUUCCGUUGAUGACGUGCUUGCACUGAUUUCAACAAUGAAGCGAGUGGCGAACUGGUGAGUAACACGUGGGGAAUCUGCCCAGAAGCAGGGGAUAACACUUGGAAACAGGUGCUAAUACCGUAUAACAACAAAAUCCGCAUGGAUUUUGUUUGAAAGGUGGCUUCGGCUAUCACUUCUGGAUGAUCCCGCGGCGUAUUAGUUAGUUGGUGAGGUAAAGGCCCACCAAGACGAUGAUACGUAGCCGACCUGAGAGGGUAAUCGGCCACAUUGGGACUGAGACACGGCCCAAACUCCUACGGGAGGCAGCAGUAGGGAAUCUUCCACAAUGGACGAAAGUCUGAUGGAGCAAUGCCGCGUGAGUGAAGAAGGGUUUCGGCUCGUAAAACUCUGUUGUUAAAGAAGAACACCUUUGAGAGUAACUGUUCAAGGGUUGACGGUAUUUAACCAGAAAGCCACGGCUAACUACGUGCCAGCAGCCGCGGUAAUACGUAGGUGGCAAGCGUUGUCCGGAUUUAUUGGGCGUAAAGCGAGCGCAGGCGGUUUUUUAAGUCUGAUGUGAAAGCCUUCGGCUUAACCGGAGAAGUGCAUCGGACACUGAGAGACUUGAGUGCAGAAGAGGACAGUGGAACUCCAUGUGUAGCGGUGGAAUGCGUAGAUAUAUGGAAGAACACCAGUGGCGAAAGCGGCUGUCUAGUCUGUAACUGACGCUGAGGCUCGAAAGCAUGGUAGCGAACAGGAUUAGAUACCCUGGUAGUCCAUGCCGUAACGAUGAGUGCUAGUGUUGGAGGGUUUCGCCCUCAGUGCUGCAGCUACGCAUAGCACUCGCUGGGAGUACGACGCAG